UACGGAAGGCAGCAGUGGGGAAUAUUGCACAAUGGGCGCAAGCCUGAUGCAGCCAUGCCGCGUGUAUGAAGAAGGCCUUCGGGUUGUAAAGUACUUUCAGUCGUGAGGAAGGUGUUAAGGUUAAUAACCUUAGCAAUUGACGUUAGCGACAGAAGAAGCACCGGCUAACUCCGUGCCAGCAGCCGCGGUAAUACGGAGGGUGCGAGCGUUAAUCGGAAUUACUGGGCGUAAAGGGCACGCAGGCGGUUAAUUAAGUUGGAUGUGAAAUCCCCGGGCUUAACCUGGGAAUGGCAUUCAAGACUGGUUAGCUAGAGUCUUGUAGAGGGGGUAGAAUUCCAUGUGUAGCGGUGAAAUGCGUAGAGAUGUGGAGGAAUACCGGUGGCGAAGGCGGCCCCUGGGACAAAGGCUGACGCUCAUGUGCGAAAGCGUGGGGAGCGAAAC
RNAcentral lists this ribosomal RNA (441 nucleotides) under uncultured bacterium. RNAcentral's name for it is "bacterial SSU rRNA". It matches the Rfam family "Bacterial small subunit ribosomal RNA", at positions 340 to 774 of the family's 1533-position model. The record is from RNAcentral.